This 483-nucleotide ribosomal RNA is filed under the name uncultured bacterium. RNAcentral describes it as "partial 16S ribosomal RNA". It matches the Rfam family "Bacterial small subunit ribosomal RNA", at positions 28 to 523 of the family's 1533-position model. The record is from RNAcentral.
GAUGAACGCUGGCGGCGUGCUUAACACAUGCAAGUCGAACGGGAUCCAUCAAGCUUGCUUGGUGGUGAGAGUGGCGAACGGGUGAGUAAUGCGUGACCGACCUGCCCCAUACACCGGAAUAGCUCCUGGAAACGGGUGGUAAUGCCGGAUGUUCCAGUUGAUCGCAUGGUCUUCUGGGAAAGCUUUCGCGGUAUGGGAUGGGGUCGCGUCCUAUCAGCUUGACGGCGGGGUAACGGCCCACCGUGGCUUCGACGGGUAGCCGGCCUGAGAGGGCGACCGGCCACAUUGGGACUGAGAUACGGCCCAGACUCCUACGGGAGGCAGCAGUGGGGAAUAUUGCACAAUAGGCGCAAGCCUGAUGCAGCGACGCCGCGUGAGGGAUGGAGGCCUUCGGGUUGUAAACCUCUUUUAUCGGGGAGCAAGCGUGAGUGAGUUUACCCGUUGAAUAAGCACCGGCUAACUACGUGCCAGCCGCCGCCGUAA